ACCAGUACCGUGAGGGAAAGGUGAAAAGCACCCCGGAAGGGGAGUGAAAUAGAACCUGAAACCGUGUGCUUACAAGUAGUCAGAGCCCGUUAAUGGGUGAUGGCGUGCCUUUUGUAGAAUGAACCGGCGAGUUACGAUUUGAUGCAAGGUUAAGCAGUAAAUGUGGAGCCGUAGCGAAAGCGAGUCUGAAUAGGGCGUUUAGUAUUUGGUCGUAGACCCGAAACCAGGUGAUCUACCCUUGGUCAGGUUGAAGUUCAGGUAACACUGAAUGGAGGACCGAACCGACUUACGUUGAAAAGUGAGCGGAUGAACUGAGGGUAGCGGAGAAAUUCCAAUCGAACCUGGAGAUAGCUGGUUCUCUCCGAAAUAGCUUUAGGGCUAGCCUCAAGUGAUGAUUAUUGGAGGUAGAGCACUGUUUGGACGAGGGGCCCCUCUCGGGUUACCGAAUUCAGACAAACUCCGAAUGCCAAUUAAUUUAACUUGGGAGUCAGAACAUGGGUGAUAAGGUCCGUGUUCGAAAGGGAAACAGCCCAGACCACCAGCUAAGGUCCCAAAAUAUAUGUUAAGUGGAAAAGGAUGUGGCGUUGCCCAGACAACUAGGAUGUUGGCUUAGAAGCAGCCAUCAUUUAAAGAGUGCGUAAUAGCUCACUA
Molecule: ribosomal RNA, 651 nt
Filed under: Staphylococcus aureus
Lineage: Bacteria; Bacillati; Bacillota; Bacilli; Caryophanales; Staphylococcaceae
Description: partial 23S ribosomal RNA
Rfam family: Bacterial large subunit ribosomal RNA
Source: RNAcentral